RNAcentral lists this ribosomal RNA (365 nucleotides) under uncultured bacterium. RNAcentral describes it as "bacterial SSU rRNA". It matches the Rfam family "Bacterial small subunit ribosomal RNA", at positions 28 to 399 of the family's 1533-position model. The record is from RNAcentral.
GACGAACGCUGGCGGCGUGCUUAACACAUGCAAGUCGAACGGUGAACCACUUCGGUGGGAUCAGUGGCGAACGGGUGAGUAACACGUGGGCAACCUGCCCUUAGCUCUGGGAUAACCCCGGGAACCGGGGACGUAAUACCGGAUACGACCUCGAGCGGCAUCACUCGAGGUGGAAAGAACUUCGGCUAAGAUGGGCCCGCGGCCUAUCAGCUUGUUGGUGGGGUAACGGCCUACCAAGGCGACGACGGGUAGCCGGCCNGAGAGGGCGACCGGCCACACUGGGACUGAGACACGGCCCAGACUCCUACGGGAGGCAGCAGUGGGGAAUAUUGCGCAAUGGGCGAAAGCCUGACGCAGCGACGCCG